AGCUCAAAUUUGAAAUCUGGCGUCCUCAGGGCGUCCGAGUUGUAAUCUAUAGAGGCGUUUUCCGUGCCGGACCGUGUCCAAGUUCCUUGGAACAGGAUAUCAAAGAGGGUGACAAUCCCGUACUUGACACGACGACCGGUGCUCUGUGAUACGUCUUCUACGAGUCGAGUUGUUUGGGAAUGCAGCUCAAAAUGGGUGGUGAGUUCCAUCUAAAGCUAAAUAUUGGCGAGAGACCGAUAGCGAACAAGUACCGUGAGGGAAAGAUGAAAAGCACUUUGGAAAGAGAGUUAAACAGUACGUGAAAUUGUUGAAAGGGAAACGAUUGAAGUCAGUCGUGACCGAGAGGCUCAGCCGGUUCUGCCGGUGUAUUCCCCUCGGUCGGGUCAACAUCAGUUUUGUCCGGUGGAUAAGGGCGGUAGGAAGGUGGCACCCUCGGGUGUGUUAUAGCCUGCCGUCGCAUACAUCGGGUGAGACUGAGGAACGCAGCUCGCCUUUAUGGCCGGGGUUCGCCCACGUCCGAGCUUAGGAUGUUGACAUAAUGGCUUUAAACGACCCGUCUUG
RNAcentral lists this ribosomal RNA (561 nucleotides) under Papiliotrema laurentii. RNAcentral describes it as "eukaryotic LSU rRNA". It matches the Rfam family "Eukaryotic large subunit ribosomal RNA", at positions 106 to 656 of the family's 3401-position model. Lineage: Eukaryota; Fungi; Basidiomycota; Tremellomycetes; Tremellales; Rhynchogastremaceae. The record is from RNAcentral.